CGGCGAGAAGGCGAACGAGAGAGACGAGGAAGCGAAAAUUUCUCCUGAUGUUGCUGGCUGCUGCUGCUGCUUGACUGUGGUGUACUGAAUUCGAAUCCAUCCAAGAAUUCUUCUUCGCUGGCUGCUGGCAUGAUGCUAGCUCCAUAAAAACGAUCCGAACCUCUGUGGCUCCUGUACAAGCGACUGGAAGUCUAUAUGAUAGAGUAAGCUCUCCUUUUCGCUUUCUUUUCUUCUUUGCCUCUAUAAGCUCAUCCUGUUUUUCUUCGCAGCUAAUGGCUGUGCGGUGGAUGAGUUCUAACCUUCGCGUAGUCGGCAUGAAAAGUCAUCUCCUCGCUACCGACGGAGUCGUCAUCGUUGUCGCCACCAUGAUCCUCCUGACGUCCGCUAGUACUUGCUUUGGCGUCUACUUCAUGAAUAGGAGGAGCGACCGGAGGUGCGGCAUAUGCAUUGAGAGCUUUAUGAUUUUUAUGAGGGUGAUGGUGAUGGUGGUGAUGUUUUUGUUGAUCCAGGUGGAUUGAACUUGAUGCUCCUCGCGGCAUCUUGGCCUUGAAUUGUUCUAGCUGCCGGUCGUUGGAGUCUAGUGCUACAACCUGCAUAGGAGCGCCUUUAGCAUCUAUUAUGACUCGGAGAAGCCUGGGAAGAGCGGAAUUGAGGAGCUACCUCGUCAUGAGAUGGUGGUGAUGGUGUUCUCGCACUCGUGCUCGUGGAAAACCGAGCCACCUUUGGGAGAGAACCUUCGCCCUUUGGUGGAGAAUCUGCACAGGGAAUUUCGUCCGUCUUUUGUUCUCUUUUUGUCUUAAAACCAGUGAUUGCUUUACCUCUGCUUUCCAGGAUCCGAGCGCAGCAACUUGGAUGCAGCAUGUUGAUCAACGCGACGAGCAGCAAGCAGCAACCGAGGCAAGUCUCUAGUCUGACGAUUCCGAGCAUAAUUCUUCACCCGUGAAAUAUCCAGGCGGCGCCAAGUAAAAUUGGAGUACCAGAGCCGAGCACCGACCGGGGCUACAAACAAUCAAAAUGCUGCUUCGACAACUUAAAGCUGCCUGGACCACAAAACGGGAUUGUGAGCUGCGCGGCAAAACAAACAAGCCGAGCGGAGAGAUGCGGGAGGGAGGAGCAAUGCAAGUGAUACACGGGAGGCAAAUAAAUGGGAUAUACAAAUGGCGAGCGGGCGAGCCGACGUAAGAAAAGAAGCGUGAGGUAAGCCGAGAGAGAGAGAGAGAGAGAGAGCUCUCACAGCACACCGGCCAAAUAAAUGAGGCUCUCUCGGAGGAGAAGAUGGCCGCAACAAACAGGGCGGGGUUACGCUAAAAACUUUGAUAUCGAGGCCAAGGAGGAUGGGCUGAUUUGUUUUUAAGGGGAGGCUGGGCAGACAGAGAAGGCCACCGGGGUCCCACGAUUUGAGGAAAAUGGAAGACAAGUUCGGCACGGUUUGGCAGACACAAAGUAAAAAGUCCGGGUCAGGACGGGAGCAGCAAACCAAAGUUUAAUCUUUUAUUGGUGAAGCGGCGGCAGCACUUGGUAUGCACCACCCAACACUCCUCUACGCUUACGCGACGACGAACUACAUGGCAUUCACCCGAGACACACAGUUUUGCAAGCGAGAAGAAGGACCGCGAUGAUUUGGACAAGGACAAGCAAGAGCAGGCUUAAAAAACUCCCUCGGCCCCCUCGCUUGCUUGCUAGCUAGCACAGCAUUCCUCUUUCGCCAUCGACACGAAAACUGGGGCAGAGCAAAAGGAAAAAAAGCACUCCCAACUGACAGGCAUGGCCUUGAAGAGCGUACGAAAGAAGCAAUUUUUUGGCGGGGAUGAUUGGGAUAGUUGGACACGAAGGUUGCUCUUCACGGUGCUUUGCUUUGAAUGGGAGCGAAGCUCGAGACAAAUGGGAAGACAGGGACACGAGCGGCGCAGGCAGUGUGACCACUGCCACCACCAGCGCCACACGCACAGACUGGAAGCGAGCGAUCGAUCAGACAAGGACGAGGGGACUUCGAAAGUAAACUUUGUGGAGCCUUGUCCUCGCUUGAUCAGUGCCGCUGCUACUUGUAUGAAGAACAACGGGGUCCAGAUCGCGAGGAACGAAGCAAAGUCAGUGUGCUGUGCUUGACAGAUCGAUUCGACCGGCUGAAAAUCGGGCCGGGAAGAGGAGUCAAUCAGCUCGAUCCAAGCGAUCGAAAGAGAUAUGAAGCGAAGCUGUCUCCACAACAACACACACAGCGCAUUGAUCAUCCA
Molecule: long non-coding RNA, 2231 nt
Organism: Selaginella moellendorffii
Lineage: Eukaryota; Viridiplantae; Streptophyta; Lycopodiopsida; Selaginellales; Selaginellaceae
Exons: 4
Source: RefSeq, a predicted model, not a curated record